Molecule: long non-coding RNA, 1415 nt
Filed under: Mytilus galloprovincialis (Mediterranean mussel)
Lineage: Eukaryota; Metazoa; Mollusca; Bivalvia; Mytilida; Mytilidae
Source: RNAcentral
AUAUAUAUAUAUAUAUUUCUAUUCAAGUUAGUGUGAUAUUUAUGACGCAAUUUUUGUGGACAUGUUUGACUUUCUCUUUUUCUUAUCAAUUUUGACUGUCUACUUAUUGAUGUUUAUUAAUGUUAACUGUUUCUCUUAUUUUUCAUCUAUUAAGACAGUUUCUCUGUUUUAUGCCACCUCAACAAAAUAGUGGGGUACUUUUUUUUACCUCUGUCUGUCCAUUAGUCCGUCCAUUUCACAUAGGGUACAUUUUAUGUCCAGUUAUUGACUCCUUUAGUUUACAAACUAAUACUUUUAAUAUUAUGUAGGAUGUUAGUAUAUAUAACAAAAGAUAGGUUACAUCAAAUUUGUCUGAAACGAUACAACCAUCUUAAAAACAGUGGCAAAAAACAACAAAAAAGACAAUAAUAUACAAAACAGAGCAUAGAAAACUACCAGUAGAGACUGAGCAACGUGUACAUCCAAAUGUUUGGUUUUUUUUAUCUUUGUCUUAUAAUAUUCAAACUGCCAAAGUCUAAAGUGAUAUGUUUUCAUUGAUAUUCUGUGAUAGUUAAACCUAUUUAUUUGUAAAUAUAUUGUUAAGUUUUGGAAAUAUUUAAAUUAUGUACACUGUUAAGACAAAUUUUAUGUCAUUUUUUCAAUUGUGAUUAAAGGAGUAGAUGCAUGAAAUUUGUAAAAUAGGUUUCUAAACUAUACAUCCUAGUGAGAUUGGCAAUAAGUAUUUAGGAAAUUUAAAUUAAAAAAAUGUUCUAUUAAGAUGGUUUUUAAGUUUUUGAAGUAUGAGCCCUGUUGGGGUAGGAAUUUAUUAGAGGAAUUUAAAACAACAAAAUGAGCUGCCACACACAUAGUGUAGGUCAUAUGUCUUUUAGUUUGCAAGGUUUUGUCUUGUUCUUUAAAUAAAAAACAAGUUAAAAAUUGAAUUUUGUUGAAAUGCAUUAAGUGCUUUAAAAUUAGAAAAUAGUAAGAACAGACCAAAGAUAAGAUGUAUGUAAGAGACAUUUUUAAGAUCCGUCUUCAUCCUGAAUAUUGUAGAUUCAUUAUUUUUUCGUUGGAUACAGAUUUAUGAACCGCAAAUUCAAAUCUUCAAUGAACAACAAAAUUUAUAUUGAAAUAUAUGCAGACUUUGUCAAAACCAUGAAAUCUAAUGUAUGAUAAAAGAGUUCCUUAAUCCACAAAAAUUUGAAUGAAUGAAAAUAAAUUAAUCCACAGUAUACGUAUAGAUUCAAAAUCAAUACUUUUAACACAACAUUUUGUCACUGUUUUGGCUUUAAUGGACUUGUGUUCCAUUUAACAAUUUAAACAUCUUUGCAAGUAUUGAACCUGCUUUUUAUAAGUAUAUACAUGUCUUUAAAAAAAAAUACCUCUUAACUAUUAUUACUCAAAAUCAAUGCAAGAAUUUAUCAGAAAAAGUAAAA